AUUAGCACUAUCUUAGAGGAUUAAGCAAAUACAUCGAUAGAGAACUGAUGCUGCUGGAAAUUCAGUGAUGUUAAUGCCCAAGGUUGCUAAGUGUUAAAAUAUAAAUAAGUAAAGUGGUUGUUGAUAUUGAUAUGUCAGCAACAAUACAGGUGGUACCACGGUGAAAAUCGUCCUAAUU
This 178-nucleotide unclassified non-coding RNA is filed under the name Leuconostoc gasicomitatum. Its description in RNAcentral is "Leuconostoc gelidum subsp. gasicomitatum T-box". The record is from RNAcentral. Lineage: Bacteria; Bacillati; Bacillota; Bacilli; Lactobacillales; Lactobacillaceae.